Molecule: ribosomal RNA, 468 nt
Filed under: uncultured bacterium
Lineage: Bacteria
Description: partial 16S ribosomal RNA
Rfam family: Bacterial small subunit ribosomal RNA
Source: RNAcentral
GACGAACGCUGGCGGCGUGCUUAACACAUGCAAGUCGAACGGAACGGCCCUGCUUUUGUGGGGUGCUCGAGUGGCGAACGGGUGAGUAACACGUGAGUAACCUGUCCCUGACUUUGGGGUAACUUCAGGAAACUGGGGCUAAUACCGGCUAGGAUUUAUUGCCGCAGGGUGGGGGUUGGUAAGUUUCGGCGGUUGGGGGUGGACUAGCGGCGUAAGAGCUUGAUGGUGGGGUAGUGGCUUACCAAGGCCUUGAAGGGUAGCCGGGCUGGGAGGGUGAGCGGACACAUUAGGACUGGGAUACGGCCCAGACCAGAACCGUAGGGGGGGGAGGAGAGGGGUAUACAGGGGGCGGGGGCCAGAUCCGGCAACGCCACGUGCGGGAUGAGGGCCAGCGGGUUGUGAUCCGAUUUCGCCUGUGCCGGGGCGAGAAUGACGGUAACGGGUAAAGAAGCACCGGCUAACUACGUG